RNAcentral lists this small RNA (126 nucleotides) under Sorex araneus (European shrew). RNAcentral describes it as "7SK RNA (ENSSARG00000019244.1)". It matches the Rfam family "7SK RNA", at positions 116 to 233 of the family's 331-position model. Rfam says of the family: 7SK was discovered as an abundant small nuclear RNA in the mid-70s but a possible function has only recently been suggested. Two independent studies have found that 7SK RNA binds the CDK9/cyclin T complex (known as elongation factor P-TEFb). P-TEFb activates transcription by phosphorylating the C-terminal domain of RNA polymerase II. Lineage: Eukaryota; Metazoa; Chordata; Mammalia; Eulipotyphla; Soricidae. The record is from RNAcentral.
UCCCUCCCGAAGCUGCGAGCUCAGUGGAAGAGGACGGCCUUCCCCGAAUAGAGACGGACCAGUCUUCGGUCUUCGGUUGAGGGUAUACGAGUAGCUGCACUCCCCUGCUAGAACCUCCAAACAAGC